RNAcentral lists this transfer RNA (75 nucleotides) under uncultured bacterium. RNAcentral's name for it is "tRNA-Gln". It matches the Rfam family "tRNA". From Rfam's summary of the family: Transfer RNA (tRNA) molecules are approximately 80 nucleotides in length. Their secondary structure includes four short double-helical elements and three loops (D, anti-codon, and T loops). Further hydrogen bonds mediate the characteristic L-shaped molecular structure. tRNAs have two regions of fundamental functional importance: the anti-codon, which is responsible for specific mRNA codon recognition, and the 3' end, to which the tRNAs corresponding amino acid is attached (by aminoacyl-tRNA synthetases). tRNAs cope with the degeneracy of the genetic code in two manners: having more than one tRNA (with a specific anti-codon) for a particular amino acid; and 'wobble' base-pairing, i.e. permitting non-standard base-pairing at the 3rd anti-codon position. The record is from RNAcentral.
UCCGGGGUGGUGUAACUGGUAACACGCGUGACUUUGACUCACGAACUGGGGGUUCGAGUCCCUCACCCGGAGCCA